AUACUUACCUGGCAGGGGAGAUACCAUGAUCACGAAGGUGGUUUUCCCAGGGCGAGGCUUACCCAUUGCACUCCCACUGAUUUCUGAUGCCAUUUUGGUCCUAUACAUCUCUGUUCUGUUGUGUUGCUUCAUUUAUUCCUCAAGAACCAUGUUACAUUAAUUAUUG
Molecule: small nuclear RNA, 166 nt
Organism: Bos mutus (wild yak)
Lineage: Eukaryota; Metazoa; Chordata; Mammalia; Artiodactyla; Bovidae
Gene: U1
Rfam family: U1 spliceosomal RNA
About the family: U1 is a small nuclear RNA (snRNA) component of the spliceosome (involved in pre-mRNA splicing).
Source: Ensembl